Molecule: ribosomal RNA, 223 nt
Filed under: uncultured bacterium
Lineage: Bacteria
Description: partial 16S ribosomal RNA
Rfam family: Bacterial small subunit ribosomal RNA
Source: RNAcentral
UAACGCGUGGGUAACCUGCCUCAUACAGGGGGAUAACAGUUAGAAAUGACUGCUAAUACCGCAUAAGCGCACAGUGCUGCAUGGCACAGUGUGAAAAACUCCGGUGGUAUGAGAUGGACUCGCGUCUGAUUAGCUAGUUGGUGGGGUAACGGCCUACCAAGGCGACGAUCAGUAGCCGGCCUGAGAGGGUGAACGGCCACAUUGGAACUGAGACACGGUCCAA